UUUUCACCAUUUUGAAUUUCGUUCUUGCUUCUCAAGGUUGAACUGGAAGAAGGAUGGUGUGCAACCGCAGCUACACCUUUUGAGAUGGUCUUUGUGUCACUGCCAGUCUGAUCCUGUCCCCCGAAGUCUGCUGUCGAGUGAAGUUGACAGAUGACAAGAGAACUCAUGGAAACUGGUCUGAAGAUGGAUGUCAGCAUGUGUUGUUUGUUUUUUUUU
Molecule: long non-coding RNA, 216 nt
Organism: Xiphias gladius (swordfish)
Lineage: Eukaryota; Metazoa; Chordata; Actinopteri; Istiophoriformes; Xiphiidae
Exons: 3
Source: RefSeq, a predicted model, not a curated record